Saccostrea cuccullata (small rock oyster) is the source of this 1579-nucleotide long non-coding RNA. RefSeq lists it as uncharacterized. Lineage: Eukaryota; Metazoa; Mollusca; Bivalvia; Ostreida; Ostreidae. The record is from RefSeq and is a predicted model, not a curated record. The transcript has 3 exons.
AAAAGAGAAAUUUUCCCUUACCAAAAUGAAAUGUUUGCUGCAAGUUUGCGGCAAGCUUGCAGCAAGUUUGCGGCAAACAAAUCUAUGUACCAGAACAGUAUGCCAGAAGUGUGCAGUAAAUGCAGCUAGCAGCACACAGUAUGCCACUUGCGGUUCAUUGUGUGCUGCUAGGGGCACAUAUGUACUUCUAGCGGCACAUUAAAUGAUCUGAUGCACAUAUGUGCCAGAAGUAUGCCACAAUUUUCCCUUAGAUGCCUUCUAUUUAUAUAGUGUGCCAGAAGUGUACCAGAAAUGUUUCUUUUAACUAUCAAAAUCAUUGUGUGCCAAAAGUGUGCCAUAAAGAUUUAGGAACGACUUGUCUGUUGCGUUACAGACCUAUCUAAGAACGGCUUAUCAGUUCACAUCCGGUUUAGAAGUUUGCGCCAAUUUUAAACCACCUGGGUCAUGACUCAUGACAAGAACAAAGAGAAAGGAGAAAACAGCAACAUAGACCGUGGAUAAAGAGAGAAUAUGGACUGAUGAUGAAUCAGUAAACGGCUCCACAAAGAAUAGAUCAGAAGGGCAUUUAUCUGCAGGAAAGGAUUCUGCUAACUAAGAGAUGGACUAAAAGUACUUGCAUAAUGUUGGAAAGGAAGCCCCCCCCCCCCCACCCCCCCAAUCAUGAAAAGUUAGUUGAAAUGUUAGAGUGAACUUGAAGUACUGUACCAAGAAAGUAGUUAAUAAAUAUUCCUAUCAAAUGUGUCGCCCGCAUGGUUAGAGCGUCUGCUCUCGAGUCACGAAGUAAGGAGUUGAAUUCCACUGUGGAUCCUUCGGAUGAGACUGUAUAAACUGAGGUCCCAUGUUGCAGUAGGUGAUGAUCAAAAAAGAUCCUCCCUGCUCAAUGGCCCUGAGUGCCAAUUAAUGUAGUAUAGGACAAAAUUUGCAGCUCUCCCACGGCAGAUGUUGGCAUCUCCAUAUAAGUGAAAAAUUCUCAUGAGGGACUUUAAACAAUAUACAAUCAAUCAAUUAAUGGAAAAUGCAACAGAUGAGGACACUCUUUCAACAUGACAUGGAUUCUUCAAGGGGAUUAUGUUGUUGUUGUUUUAAAAGUGAUAGAAUCAAGACACUGAACAAAAUGGUCGCCUUUACUGUGUAAAUAAUAUUGUGAGAUUUAAUUUGUCAAAAUACUUUAGAUGUUUAUUCAUAUCAUGCAGCACUAUUUACUUUGAUAUGUGCAGUUGAAAUUCAUUGUAAGAGGUGAAUCUUUUCUUUGAUGUAAAAUGUUUUGUGAUUGUUGUUAACUACAAAUCCUCUAUUCAUUUUGCAUAAUGACCAAUGUAAAUUUGUGCCAUUAUUUUACUCAAAGGUUGUGAAUUUAUUUUUUUUAAUCUGUUUCUUUCUCUAUCUGACGUAUACAGUGUAACUGUUCAAUCAACAGAUUUUGUUCCGUACUGUGCAAGUUUUUUUUACACAUUAAUAUUAUAGUUAGUGUUAUAUAUACAUGUACCUUUUUACCUUGAAAUUUUCAUAAAUAAUUUUUAAAAUGGCUUAAAUGUUCUUUUUUUUUUAUAGUACAUGUAUUACAUGUUGCUGUCAUGUU